ACGCAUUAAGUUCCCCGCCUGGGGAGUACGGCCGCAAGGCUAAAACUCAAAGGAAUUGACGGGGACCCGCACAAGCGGCGGAGCAUGCGGAUUAAUUCGAUGCAACGCGAAGAACCUUACCAAGCUUGACAUACACCAGAACCCGUAGAAAUACGGGACUCUUUGGACCUGGUAACAGGUGGUGCAUGGUUGUCGUCAGCUCGUGUCGUGAGAUGUUGGGUUAAGUCCCGCAACGAGCGCAACCCUCGUUCUAUUCCACACGUUAUGGUGGGAACUCAUGGAUACUCCGGGGUCAACUCGAGAAGUGGGGAAGAGUAAAUAUCCCCUAUGUCUGGCUUCCAUUCUACAUGGCCGGUCAAGGGUGCAAUACCUAGUGGACGAAUACCCUAAAAAACCGGUAUCCAAUCGAUGAGUUUGAACUCGACCUCCCGAGAG
This 435-nucleotide ribosomal RNA is filed under the name Microbacterium sp. RNAcentral describes it as "bacterial SSU rRNA". It matches the Rfam family "Bacterial small subunit ribosomal RNA", at positions 855 to 1325 of the family's 1533-position model. Lineage: Bacteria; Bacillati; Actinomycetota; Actinomycetes; Micrococcales; Microbacteriaceae. The record is from RNAcentral.